GUAGGUGGCAAGCGUUGUCCGGAAUUAUUGGGCGUAAAGCGCGCGCAGGCGGUUCUUUAAGUCUGAUGUGAAAGCCCACGGGCUCAACCGUGGAGGGUCAUUGGAAACUGGAGAACUUGAGUACAGAAGAGGAAAGCGGAAUUCCACGUGUAGCGGUGAAAUGCGUAGAGAUGUGGAGGAACACCAGUGGCGAAGGCGGCUUUCUGGUCUGUAACUGACGCUGAGGCGCGAAAGCGUGGGGAGCAAACAGGAUUAGAUACCCAGGUAGUCCACGCCGUAAACGAUGAGUGCUAAGUGUUAGGGGGUUUCCGCCCCUUAGUGCUGCAGCUAACGCAUUAAGCACUCCGCCUGGGGAGUACGGCCGCAAAGGCUG
This 373-nucleotide ribosomal RNA is filed under the name uncultured organism. RNAcentral's name for it is "partial 16S ribosomal RNA". It matches the Rfam family "Bacterial small subunit ribosomal RNA", at positions 527 to 896 of the family's 1533-position model. The record is from RNAcentral.